UGUCCUAGAAACAACCACAUGCUGGAGAAUGGAAUUCCAUAAGGUACUCUCUUAGAUAAAGGAAGUGCCAUCCAUCCUGUUACCAUCUGCUAAAAUCCUCAGCCCACCUGCAUAGUGAACAGCAUUCAUUGUUUUCCAGAAAUGUGCAAGAACCACAGUCUCCCCCAAGACUGAAGAUCUGCUUCAUUGACAUGGCAGGGAACGUGGCUGCACACAGAGGACUCAUUUUUGCAGCUUCCCUACCAGAGAGAGAGACACCCUUUUUACCCGAGUUCUGAGUUGAAAUAUCCUAGAAGAGAACUCUGAUUGGCCUGGCUUGGGUCACAUGCCUGUCGUUGAGUUGAUCAACUGUGAUUAGUUAUAAGUGUACUCAUUAGUAACUUCCCCUGGAACCUUAGAUUUGAUGUGGGGUAAGACUUCCAAAAACAAACAAAAAAAUAAAACAGAAGAAUGCUA
RNAcentral lists this long non-coding RNA (456 nucleotides) under Pan troglodytes (chimpanzee). RNAcentral's name for it is "lincRNA". Lineage: Eukaryota; Metazoa; Chordata; Mammalia; Primates; Hominidae. The record is from RNAcentral.